GAUGAACGCUGGCGGCGUGCCUAAUACAUGCAAGUCGAGCGAACGGACGAGAAGCUUGCUUCUCUGAUGUUAGCGGCGGACGGGUGAGUAACACGUGGAUAACCUACCUAUAAGACUGGGAUAACUUCGGGAAACCGGAGCUAAUACCGGAUAAUAUUUUGAACCGCAUGGUUCAAAAGUGAAAGACGGUCUUGCUGUCACUUAUAGAUGGAUCCGCGCCGCAUUAGCUAGUUGGUAAGGUAACGGCUUACCAAGGCAACGAUGCAUAGCCGACCUGAGAGGGUGAUCGGCCACACUGGAACUGAGGCACGGUCCAGACUCCUACGGGAGGCAGCAGUAGGGAAUCUUCCGCAAUGGGCGAAAGCCUGACGGAGCAACGCCGCGUGAGUGAUGAAGGUCUUCGGAUCGUAAAACUCUGUUAUUAGGGAAGAACAUAUGUGUAAGUAACUGUGCACAUCUUGACGGUACCUAAUCAGAAAGCCACGGCUAACUACGUG
RNAcentral lists this ribosomal RNA (497 nucleotides) under uncultured bacterium. Its description in RNAcentral is "partial 16S ribosomal RNA". It matches the Rfam family "Bacterial small subunit ribosomal RNA", at positions 28 to 507 of the family's 1533-position model. The record is from RNAcentral.